UACGUAGGUGGCAAGCGUUGUUCGGAAUUAUUGGGCGUAAAGGGCGCGUAGGCGGCUUGUUAAGUCAGCUGUGAAAGCCCGGGGCUCAACCCCGGAGGGUCAGCUGAUACUGGCAGGCUAGAGUACGGAAGAGGUAGCUGGAAUUCCCGGUGUAGCGGUGAAAUGCGUAGAUAUCGUGAGGAACACCAGAGGCGAAGGCGGCUACCUGGACAAUUGCUGACGCUCAGGCACGAAAGCGUGGGGAGCAAAAGGG
Molecule: ribosomal RNA, 253 nt
Filed under: uncultured prokaryote
Description: partial 16S ribosomal RNA
Rfam family: Bacterial small subunit ribosomal RNA
Source: RNAcentral